GACGAACGCUGGCGGCGUGCUUAACACAUGCAAGUCGAACGGAAAGGCCCUGCUUUUGUGGGGUGCUCGAGUGGCGAACGGGUGGGUAACACGUGAGUAACCUGCCCUUGACUUUGGGAUAACUUCAGGAAACUGGGGCUAAUACCUGAUAGGAGCUCCUGCUGCAUGGUGGGGAUUGGAAAGUUUCGGCGGUUGGGGAUGGACUCGCGGCUUAUCAGCUUGUUGGUGGGGUAGUGGCUUACCAAGGCUUUGACGGGUAGCCGGCCUGAGAGGGUGACCGGCCACAUUGGGACUGAGAUACGGCCCAGACUCCUACGGGAGGCAGCAGUGGGGAAUAUUGCACAAUGGGCGGAAGCCUGAUGCAGAAACGCCGCGUGCGGGAUGACGGCCUUCGGGUUGUAAACCGCUUUCGCCUGUGACGAAGCGUGAGUGACGGUAAUGGGUAAAGAAGCACCGGCUAACUACGUG
Molecule: ribosomal RNA, 468 nt
Filed under: uncultured bacterium
Lineage: Bacteria
Description: partial 16S ribosomal RNA
Rfam family: Bacterial small subunit ribosomal RNA
Source: RNAcentral